Molecule: long non-coding RNA, 1710 nt
Organism: Solanum tuberosum (potato)
Lineage: Eukaryota; Viridiplantae; Streptophyta; Magnoliopsida; Solanales; Solanaceae
Exons: 4
Source: RefSeq, a predicted model, not a curated record
CAACAAAUAAAACAGAAAAGGAAAGAAGACCAAAAAUUAAGAGAAAAUGGAAAGACCAGCCGCCAUUCUUCAGACCUUCAUCUAGCAAAACAGCCAUGGCGGACAGCGGAAGACGACGAUUUGAAUCCCUUCUGUCUACUAGAGUUGACUUCGUAGGUGCCAGUGAGUCUUGAUUGUUUUACAAAGGCAUUCAAACCCCUCACAAAUGCCAUAAAUCAAUCAAAUGAAGACUUCUUCAACUCCUAGCACAACCAGUCAUGUCUUGCACAGCCAAGGUUGAGCUCAACUUGGAGCUAAUACCACUGUCUAAGCCAGAAGAAUCCAUAGAUCCAUUUAUUAACUAAUCGAGCUAGCAUAGCAGACAAUAACGCGAAAUCCAGGAAAGGGAGGGGGAAUGAAUGCCAAAUUUGAAGCAAACCGAAAAGUGAGUUCUUGUGGAGUGAGUCUAGUGCUUCCCUUUAACCUAGAAGCACUCAGUGAGCCUUCAACAAUGUCCUUCCUGGCCUCUUAUUUGAGUUGACCGAAGGCGGCGGGUGGACGAACAUCUUGCAAUAAAGAAUGUUCUCCUACUCACAAACAGCGACUCCUGUUGGUGCGAUCAACCACGAAAAGUCAGUAAUAAAGAAUAUGUGCUCCUCGCUCCCGCUAUGGUUCGAUAUGAUAUGGUUUGAUUGGUCCAACCUUUAGAAACAACAAGGGUAAAAUAGAUAUAAAAGAUCCAUGGUCAUGGGAUCGAACAACGGAGAUCAUUCUUCAAGAUGACACUUGGAAAGACGUGAUUAAUUGGAACACAAUACCAUGUCAAUUUCUCUGUAGAGGUGUUCCCAAAGAAGUUGGAGGUUCAGAAUCUAAUUUUUUUUCUUAAUGGUUGAACCAAAUGACAGUAUAGCUGCAGUUAAAGCGUAUAUUCUGUGGGAAUAAAACAACAACUAAUUUGGCAACCACAUUUGUUGAAAUUACUUACCACAAAUGUGAAAAUUGGCAAGCCACAAAUGUGAAAGUUGGUAGCCACAUUUGUGGAAGUUUGAUAGAGUUUUGGAAGUCAAAGUUUGGUAGAAUUUUGGUAGAGUUUGGCAGCCAAACUUUGUGAAAAUUGGCUACCACAUUUAUGUCAAAGUUGUUUACCUACAAAUUUGAAUUGUUAGUUUCCAUUGAUGUCAUUAGUGACAUCAAACGGACAUAAUUUUUCUUAUAAAUAGAGCACUUAUGCUCAUUUGUAAGGACACACCAAAAAUAGAGAAACAAUAGAGAGUAGAGAGAGUAAUCCUUCGUAGUUUGUGAGAAAAUAGUGUGAAAGUAAUAUAAUUGUGAGUUGUAAGAAAUAAAAGAGUGGUGAGUAGUAGUCUUUUGACACUACCAAGUUUUUCAUCAAUAUUAUUGUAUUACUUAUUCGGGUAUCAUAUUUACCCAUUUUAAUAUUUGGUGUCAUUGUUACUCUCUUCCUAUUGGUAUUUAGUUUGGACAUUAUUCUGGGUGUGAUUAUCAUUUGUCCAACAACGUGGUAUCAGAGCCAUGGAAAAUAAUAGUCCGUUGUCCUUUCAGUACCCCCAUCUCACAAGAGAAAAUUAUGAAAAUGGUGUCUAUGAAUGAAAGUCAUUCUUGGCUCUCAAGAUGUUUGGCAUAUUGUAGACAAUGGGUUUACAAAACCCGCUAAUGAGGAAACUUUGUCCUCAAAUGAAAAGGAGAUCUUAUUAAAGACAAGAAAGAAAG